RNAcentral lists this ribosomal RNA (497 nucleotides) under uncultured bacterium. RNAcentral describes it as "partial 16S ribosomal RNA". It matches the Rfam family "Bacterial small subunit ribosomal RNA", at positions 28 to 507 of the family's 1533-position model. The record is from RNAcentral.
GAUGAACGCUGGCGGCGUGCCUAAUACAUGCAAGUCGAGCGAACGGACGAGAAGCUUGCUUCUCUGAUGUUAGCGGCGGACGUGUGAGUAACACGUGGAUAACCUACCUAUAAGACUGGGAUAACUUCGGGAACCCGGAGCUAAUACCGGAUAAUAUUUUGAACCGCAUGGUUCAAAAGUGAAAGACGGUCUUGCUGUCACUUAUAGAUGGAUCCGCGCUGCAUUAGCUAGUUGGUAAGGUAACGGCUUACCAAGGCAACGAUGCAUAGCCGACCUGAGAGGGUGAUCGGCCACACUGGAACUGAGACACGGUCCAGACUCCUACGGGAGGCAGCAGUAGGGAAUCUUCCGCAAUGGGCGAAAGCCUGACGGAGCAACGCCGCGUGAGUGAUGAAGGUCUUCGGAUCGUAAAACGCUGUUAUUAGGGAAGAACAUAUGUGUAAGUAACUGUGCACAUCUUGACGGUACCGAAUCAGAAAGCCACGGCUAACUACGUG